CCCUUAGAUGUUCUGGGCUGCACGCGCGCUACACUGAUGCGAUCAACAAGUUUUUCCUAUGUCGAUAGACACGGGUAAUCUUUUGAACUCGCAUCGUGAUGGGGAUAGAUUAUUGUAAUUAUUAAUCUUCAACGAGGAAUUCCUAGUAGGUGCAAAUCAUCAGUUUGCAUCGAUUACGUCCCUGCCCUUUGUACACACCGCCCGUCGCUGCUACCGAUUGGUUGAUCUGGUGAAUUAUUCGGACUGCCGGCUGAAGGGGUUUCCUCAUCUGCCAGCGGAAAGUCUUGAUAACCCUAUCAACUAGAGGAAGCAGAAGUCGUAACA
Molecule: ribosomal RNA, 324 nt
Filed under: uncultured eukaryote
Lineage: Eukaryota
Description: partial 18S ribosomal RNA
Rfam family: Eukaryotic small subunit ribosomal RNA
Source: RNAcentral